Molecule: transfer RNA, 72 nt
Filed under: Candidatus Microgenomates bacterium
Lineage: Bacteria; Candidatus Microgenomatota
Description: tRNA-Glu
Rfam family: tRNA
About the family: Transfer RNA (tRNA) molecules are approximately 80 nucleotides in length. Their secondary structure includes four short double-helical elements and three loops (D, anti-codon, and T loops). Further hydrogen bonds mediate the characteristic L-shaped molecular structure. tRNAs have two regions of fundamental functional importance: the anti-codon, which is responsible for specific mRNA codon recognition, and the 3' end, to which the tRNAs corresponding amino acid is attached (by aminoacyl-tRNA synthetases). tRNAs cope with the degeneracy of the genetic code in two manners: having more than one tRNA (with a specific anti-codon) for a particular amino acid; and 'wobble' base-pairing, i.e. permitting non-standard base-pairing at the 3rd anti-codon position.
Source: RNAcentral
GGCCCCAUCGUCUAUCGGUUAGGACGUCAGCUUCUCAAGCUGAAAAGAGGAGUUCGAUUCUCCUUGGGGCUA